RNAcentral lists this ribosomal RNA (496 nucleotides) under uncultured bacterium. RNAcentral's name for it is "partial 16S ribosomal RNA". It matches the Rfam family "Bacterial small subunit ribosomal RNA", at positions 28 to 507 of the family's 1533-position model. The record is from RNAcentral.
GAUGAACGCUGCGGCGUGCCUAAUACAUGCAAGUCGAGCGAACAGAUGAGGAGCUUGCUCCUCUGACGUUAGCGGCGGACGGGUGAGUAACACGUGGAUAACCUACCUAUAAGACUGGGAUAACUUCGGGAAACCGGAGCUAAUACCGGAUAAUAUAUUGAACCGCAUGGUUCAAUAGUGAAAGACGGUUUUGCUGUCACUUAUAGAUGGAUCCGCGCCGCAUUAGCUAGUUGGUAAGGUAACGGCUUACCAAGGCAACGAUGCGUAGCCGACCUGAGAGGGUGAUCGGCCACACUGGAACUGAGACACGGUCCAGACUCCUACGGGAGGCAGCAGUAGGGAAUCUUCCGCAAAGGGCGAAAGCCUGACGGAGCAACGCCGCGUGAGUGAUGAAGGUCUUCGGAUCGUAAAACUCUGUUAUUAGGGAAGAACAAAUGUGUAAGUAACUAUGCACGUCUUGACGGUACCUAAUCAGAAAGCCACGGCUAACUACGUG